GUAAAUUAUAAUAAUAAGUCAAUUGAUUCUCAGGUAUUUUAAGAAUGAUGUCUGUACUUAAAAACAAGACAGAAAUUACAUUUCUUUGCACUGUAGUACAUUUAGCGCAUUAAGUUUAACUAAACUAAAAUGAGAAAAAAAUAUUUGUUCUUUUUUUUUACUUCCAUUAACAAUUAUUUUUAAUGGUUUAAGUUUUAGUUUUCUAUAAAAAUCUUUUUUUAUUAUCUGACUUGCAACUUACAUUCCAAAUUAUUUGUAUUUGUGCUGAAUGAGAGAUUUAUGUGAGCCCACGUUAAUUUCUAUAGGGCAUUUCAGUUCCAAUGAAUUAGUUUAGGAUUAGCAUUUAUAAUAAAUUAGGUUUUAGAAAAAUAGAAAAUGAAUUAUUUCAGCAAUUUUAUGAGUUGAAAUUUAGAGGUUAGGGUUCGGGACAGCCACCUCUAAAUUGAAAGGAGGUAUUUAUUUAUAUUAUGCAUAAUAAUAUUUUAAAUAUUAUUGUGGGUGUCGAUAGAUAAAAGACGGAUCUUGGUAAACAUCUGAGUUUUGAAUACUUAAAUGCUUUUUAAAGAUGUUCUUUGGUUGUGGGAGAGCAGUUUGCACAAAUUCUAUAGAAUGGCCCUUAUAUAACCCUACCUCUAAAUGAAAACAUAACUUACAUUUUUAUUAUUGUUAAAUUAAAUUACUUUAUGCAUGGCACGUUUGUUUACAAUAACAGAUCAACACGUGCCUGUAUGUUCACAAGGACACUCAUAAACGCACGCACACGGACUCAGUCGUCAAUUAUUAAACAAACAUGAUACUGUUCAGUGAGAGAAAGAGAUCACACAAGCCACAGCCAUUUCACACACACACACACACACAUCUGAUCCUGAACGUCGACACACUCCCACUGGAUAUUUCUCAGGAUUUUUCUGCAUCCUGAUGAUCUCUGACCAUCCCUGAUGGACUCAGCCGCUCCUCCGAACAUCCCUGAUGACCGAACUCAUCCAGGGCCUCCCGUCCUCCAGGAGGCUCAUGAUUCCUCCAGACAAAGAGAAGCCAUGACAUUACCCAGCGUUCCUGCAUACGACUCGGUCAGCAUCCUCACCGCUGGCCCACUGAAUGACACUGACAGCAUCCAAACAUCCCAUCAUGCAUACGACACGGACAGCAACCGCACCCUAAACCCAGCAUUCGACACGGACAGCACCCACACCCUGCACCCGCCGUACACGAGCCCCGCUGGAGGAGACGCCUCGACCAGCAGCGUCCCGGCCAACCCUCCUCCAUACAGCCCACCGGACCCCAAAGCUGUCUACGUCAUGUACCCACAGUACCCCAACCAGCCGGUCAUCGCCUGUCAGCCCGGAGCCAAUCUACCUGGAGCUUUCUACCAGCCCUCCUUCCUCCCGUCGUCCACUUACCCAUCCUACACUAUAUACAUGAACGGUCCGCCGCUGGGAGAGGAGCACCCUCCGUUACCUAAAGAUUACCUGGUCGAGUCUCUGCUGGUGACCAUCUUCUGCUGCCUCAUGAGCGGCCUCGUCGCGGUCAUGUACUCGUAUGAAGUGAGCACCUGA
Long non-coding RNA from Carassius auratus (goldfish), 1556 nucleotides. The record is from Ensembl. NCBI's taxonomy places the organism in Eukaryota, Metazoa, Chordata, Actinopteri, Cypriniformes, Cyprinidae.